RNAcentral lists this ribosomal RNA (325 nucleotides) under uncultured eukaryote. RNAcentral's name for it is "partial 18S ribosomal RNA". It matches the Rfam family "Eukaryotic small subunit ribosomal RNA", at positions 1470 to 1796 of the family's 1831-position model. The record is from RNAcentral.
CCCUUAGAUGUUCUGGGCCGCACGCGCGCUACACUGAUAAUGUCAACAAGCUUUACCUUGGCCGAUAGGUCUGGGCAAUCUUCGAACUAUUAUCGUGAUGGGGCUAGAUUAUUGCAACUAUUAAUCUUAAACGAGGAAUACCUUGUAAGCGCGGGUCAUCAUCCCGCGCUGAAUACGUCCCUGCCCUUUGUACACACCGCCCGUCGCUCCUACCGAUUGAGUGGUCCGGUGAGGCUUUGGGAUCUGAGCGGAAAGAGCGUUUCGCUGUUUCUGCUCGGAAAACUCAGUCGAACCUUAUCAUUUAGAGGAAGGAGAAGUCGUAACA